RNAcentral lists this unclassified non-coding RNA (306 nucleotides) under uncultured Acrophialophora. RNAcentral's name for it is "sequence contains ITS1". The stretch from base 1 to 105 matches the Rfam family "5.8S ribosomal RNA", at positions 50 to 154 of the family's 154-position model. Lineage: Eukaryota; Fungi; Ascomycota; Sordariomycetes; Sordariales; Chaetomiaceae. The record is from RNAcentral.
GAAAUGCGAUAAGUAAUGUGAAUUGCAGAAUUCAGUGAAUCAUCGAAUCUUUGAACGCACAUUGCGCCCGCCAGUAUUCUGGCGGGCAUGCCUGUUCGAGCGUCAUUUCAACCAUCAAGCCCCCGGGCUUGUGUUGGGGACCUGCGGCCGCCGCCGGCCCCGAAAAGCAGGGGCGGGCUCGCUGUCGCACCGAGCGUAGUAGCAAUCAACUCGCUCAGGGCGUGCCGUGGGCGCCGGCCGUUAAACGACCAACCUAUACAUCCGCAGGUUGACCUCGGAUCAGGUAGGAAUACCCGCUGAACUUAA